This is a non-coding RNA of Ceratobasidium sp. 394, 98 nucleotides long. The record is from the annotation of a GenBank genome assembly. NCBI's taxonomy places the organism in Eukaryota, Fungi, Basidiomycota, Agaricomycetes, Cantharellales, Ceratobasidiaceae.
GCGUGGGUAGUAUAACGGUUAUUAUCUCGGUUUCCCAUCACAUGGCUCUGGCUUGCUGGAGAUUACCGAGGAACCGGGUUCGACCCCCGGCCUACGCA